Otolemur garnettii (small-eared galago) is the source of this 147-nucleotide non-coding RNA. Lineage: Eukaryota; Metazoa; Chordata; Mammalia; Primates; Galagidae. The record is from Rfam.
CUACCGCGAGGGCGUCGUUGCGGGCCCUGGGUCCCGGGAGAGGUUCCCGGAGCCCACCUUUCCGCCAGCGGCGUCGUGACGGCUUCCCAGGUCUGCCCUCUUUGCGGGGGUCCCCGCAUCCGCGCUGGGGCCCCAGGUAACGGCCGU